UAUGGUAAUUGUGUGCCAGCCUCCGCUUUACUACGUAGGUGGCAAGCGUUGUCCGGAAUUACUGGGUGUAAAGGGAGCGUAGGCGGGGAGACAAGUUGAAUGUCUAAACUAUCGGCUUAACUGAUAGUCGCGUUCAAAACUAUCACUCUUGAGUGCAGUAGAGGUAGGCGGAAUUCCUAGUGUAGCGGUGAAAUGCGUAGAUAUUAGGAGGAACACCAGUGGCGAAGGCGGCCUACUGGGCUGUAACUGACGCUGAGGCUCGAAAGCGUGGGUAGCAAACAGG
Molecule: ribosomal RNA, 283 nt
Filed under: Negativibacillus massiliensis
Lineage: Bacteria; Bacillati; Bacillota
Description: partial 16S ribosomal RNA
Rfam family: Bacterial small subunit ribosomal RNA
Source: RNAcentral